CGCCGGGGGUGGGAGCUGCGCCGUUCAAGUGCGCGGCUCGGCGGAGCAUUACGGCGGCCGAGCGCUGCCCGGGCCGGCAGCGCGGAGCCCGCAGCGCGGCCAUGGCCGAGCGCCGCGCCUUCGCGCAGAAGAUCAGCAGGACCGUGGCAGCCGAGGUCAGGAAGCAGAUCUCGGGGCAGUAUGGAGGCUCCCCACAGCUCCUCAAGAACCUCAACAUCGGAGGCAGCGUCUCUCAUCACACCACUGUGCCUCUCACAGAAGCUGUGGAUCCUGUGGACCUGGAGGAGUAUCUCAACACCCACCCUCUGGCCGUGGAGUCGGGGCCCCUGCGGGACCUGCUGGAGUUUCCCCGCGAUGACAUCGAGGUGGUUUACACCCCCCGCGAGUGCCGGACGCUCGUGUCGGCCGUGCCCGAGGAGAGCGAGAUGGACCCUCACGUGAGGGACUGUGUCAGGAGUUACACGGAGGACUGGGCCAUCGUCAACAGAAAAUACCACAAGCUGGGGACUGGGUUCAACCCCAACACCUUGGACAAGCAGAAGGAGAGGCAAAAAGGGCUGCCCAAACAGGUCUUUGAGUCUGACGAAGCUCCUGACGGCAACAGCUACCAGGAUGAACAAGAUGACCUCAAGCGCCGCUCAAUGUCGAUCGACGACACCCCGCGGGGCAGCUGGGCCUGCAGCAUCUUCGACCUCAAGAACUCCCUGCCUGAUGCCCUCCUCCCCAACCUGCUGGACAGAACCCCCAACGAGGAGAUCGACCACCACAACGAGGACCAGAGGAAGUCCAGCAGGCAUAAGGAGCUUUUUGCACUACACCCAGCACCAGAUGAGGAGGAGCCCAUAGAGAGACUCAGUGUCCCUGAAGUACCCAAAGAACACUUUGGCCAAAGACUCCUGGUGAAGUGUUUGUCCCUGAAAUUUGAAAUAGAAAUUGAGCCCAUUUUUGCAAGUUUGGCUUUGUAUGAUGUUAAAGAAAAGAAGAAGAUUUCAGAGAAUUUCUACUUUGAUUUAAACUCUGAGCAAAUGAAGGGAAUGCUUCGGCCUCAUGUCCCCCCUGCUGCUAUUUCCACCCUGGCCAGAUCUGCCAUCUUUUCCAUCACCUACCCAUCCCAAGAUGUCUUUCUAGUAAUAAAGCUGGAAAAAGUGUUACAGCAGGGAGAUAUUGGGGAGUGUGCAGAGCCUUACAUGAUUUUUAAGGAAUCUGAUGCAGCAAAGAACAAGGAGAAGUUGGAAAAACUGAAGGGCCAGGCAGAGCAGUUUUGCCAAAGACUGGGGAAGUACCGGAUGCCGUUCGCCUGGACAGCCAUUCACCUCAUGAACAUUGUGAGCAGUGCUGGCAGCUUGGAAAGAGAUUCCACAGAAGUUGAAGUUGGCACAGGAGAGCGUAAAGGGUCGUGGUCGGAGCGGCGCAAUUCCAGCAUCGUCGGGAGGCGCUCCCUGGAGAGGACCACGAGUGGGGACGAGGCUUGCAACCUGAGCAGCUUCAGGCCAGCCACCCUGACAGUGACCAACUUCUUCAAACAGGAGGGGGAUCGCCUGAGCGAUGAGGACCUGUACAAGUUCCUGGCUGACAUGAGGCGUCCCUCGUCGGUGCUGCGCAGGCUCAGACCCAUCACAGCUCAGUUGAAGAUAGACAUAUCUCCAGCUCCAGAGAACCCCCACUACUGCCUAACCCCAGAGCUGCUGCAGGUCAAGCUCUACCCAGACAGCAGAGUCAGACCUACAAGAGAAAUCCUGGAGUUCCCUGCCAGGGAUGUCUACGUCCCAAACACCACAUACAGGAAUCUCCUUUAUGUGUAUCCACAGAGCCUUAAUUUCGCCAACCGGCAGGGAUCAGCCAGGAAUAUCACCGUGAAAGUGCAGUUCAUGUAUGGAGAGGAUCCCAGCAAUGCCAUGCCGGUCAUCUUUGGCAAAUCCAGCUGUCCUGAGUUUUCCAAGGAAGCAUACACAGCUGUGGUGUAUCACAACAGAUCUCCUGACUUUCACGAGGAAAUCAAGAUUAAGCUUCCAGCCACUUUGACAGACCACCACCACCUGCUUUUUACUUUCUACCACGUCAGUUGCCAACAAAAACAAAACACACCCCUGGAGACUCCAGUCGGCUACACUUGGAUCCCGAUGCUGCAGAAUGGCCGGUUAAAGACGGGUCAGUUCUGUCUGCCUGUGUCAUUGGAAAAGCCACCACAGGCUUAUUCAGUGCUUUCUCCAGAGGUUCCUCUCCCUGGGAUGAAGUGGGUGGACAACCACAAAGGGGUUUUCAAUGUGGAAGUUGUUGCUGUGUCAUCCCUCCACACUCAGGACCCUUACCUCGACAAGUUCUUUGCACUUGUCCAUGCUCUGGAUGAGCACAUGUUCCCUGUGCGAAUAGGAGACAUGAGAAUUAUGGAGAACAACUUGGAAAAUGAACUGAAGAGCAGCAUUUCAGCUUUAAAUUCCUCUCAACUGGAGCCGGUAGUGCGAUUUCUUCAUCUCCUGCUUGACAAACUGAUCCUUCUGGUAGUAAGACCUCCUGUCAUUGCAGGCCAAAUAGUGAACCUGGGCCAAGCAUCUUUUGAGGCGAUGGCAUCGAUCAUAAACAGACUUCACAAGAACCUGGAUGGCAACCAGGACCAGCAUGGCAGGAACAGCCUGCUUGCUUCCUAUAUUUAUUAUGUUUUUCGCCUGCCCAACACCUAUCCCAACUCACCAUCACCAGGUCCCGGCGGCCUGGGGGGGUCCGUGCACUACGCCACCAUGGCCAGGUCGGCCGUGCGCCCCGCCAGCCUCAACCUGAACCGCUCGCGCAGCCUCAGCAACAGCAACCCCGACAUCUCCGGCACCCCCACCUCGCCCGACGACGAGGUGCGCUCCAUCAUCGGCACCAAGGGCUUGGACCGCUCCAAUUCCUGGGUAAACACUGGUGGUCCAAAAGCAGCCCCAUGGGGAUCCAACCCCAGCCCAAGUGCAGAGUCAACACAGGCUACGGAUCGAAGUUGUAAUCGUAUGUCUUCGCACACUGAGACGUCAAGUUUCUUACAAACAUUAACAGGACGAUUACCAACCAAAAAGCUUUUCCACGAGGAGCUGGCCCUGCAGUGGGUUGUGUGCAGCGGGAGCGUGCGGGAGGCGGCCCUGCAGCAGGCCUGGUUCUUCUUCGAGCUGAUGGUGAAGAGCAUGGUGCAUCAUCUGUAUUUUGCUGACAAACUGGAUGCGCCGAGGAAGAAUCGUUUCCCGGAGCGCUUCAUGGAUGACGUGUCUGCACUGGUCAGCACAAUCGCUGGUGAUAUAGUCUCCCGCUUCCAGAAGGACACGGAAAUGGUGGAGCGGCUCAACACCAGUCUCGCGUUUUUCCUCAAUGAUUUGUUGUCCAUCAUGGACAGAGGAUUUGUUUUUGGUCUUAUUAAGACCUGCUACAAACAGGUGUCUGCAAAGGUGUAUUCCUUAACAAAUCCAAGCAACCUGGCAUCUCUGAAGCUGGACUUCCUGCGCAUCAUUUGCAGCCACGAGCACUAUGUCACCUUGAAUUUACCCUGCAGCUUGCUCACACCACCUGCAUCUCCCUCACCGUCCGUGUCUUCAGCCACUUCCCAGAGUUCUGGGUUCUCCACCAAUGUCCAAGACCAGAAGAUUGCAAAUAUGUUUGAGUUGUCUGUGCCUUUCCGCCAGCAGCAUUACCUGGCCGGGCUGGUGCUCACAGAACUGGCUGUCAUUCUAGAUCCUGAUGCAGAAGGAUUAUUUGGAUUGCAUAAGAAGGUCAUCAACAUGGUACACAACCUGCUGUCCAGCCACGACUCGGACCCGCGGUACGCUGACCCCCAGGUAAAGGCCCGGGUGGCAAUGCUGUAUCUACCUCUGAUUGGCGUGAUCAUGGAAACUGUGCCUCAGCUCUAUGACUUCACAGAGAGCCACAACCAGCGGGGGAGGCCGAGCUGUGUUGCCGUGGACGAUUACGAGAGCGAGGGUGGCAGCAUGAUCAGCCAGACGGUGGCCAUGGCCAUUGCAGGGACUUCUGUCCCCCAGCUCACCAGGCCCAGCAGUUUUCUACUCCCUUCUUCGAGUGGCAGGCAGCACUCCACCUUCUCAACAGAGUCCAGUCGCAGCCUCCUCAUCUGCCUGCUGUGGGUGCUGAAGAACGCGGACGAGAGCGUCCUGCAGAAGUGGUUCACUGACCUGUCAGUGCUGCAGCUCAACCGCCUGCUGGACCUGCUCUAUCUCUGUGUCUCCUGCUUUGAGUACAAGGGCAAGAAAGUGUUUGAAAGAAUGAACAGUCUGACGUUUAAGAAGUCAAAAGACAUGAGAGCCAAACUUGAAGAAGCAAUUUUGGGCAGCAUAGGGGCAAGGCAGGAAAUGGUCCGAAGAAGUAGAGGACAGCUGGAGAGGAGUCCUUCUGGGAGUGCCUUUGGAAGUCAAGAGAAUCUGAGAUGGAGAAAGGAUAUGACUCACUGGCGGCAGAACACCGAGAAGCUUGACAAAAGCCACAAACCAGCCAGGUCAAGGGCAGAGAUAGAGCAUGAAGCACUCAUCGAUGGGAAUCUUGCAACAGAAGCCAACCUGAUAAUUUUGGAUACUCUAGAGAUAGUUGUACAGACCGUGUCCGUGACGGAGUCCAAGGAGAGCAUCCUCGGUGGGGUGCUCAAAGUGCUGCUGCACAGCAUGGCCUGCAACCAAAGUGCCCUUUACCUCCAGCACUGCUUUGCCACACAGAGAGCUUUGGUCUCAAAGUUCCCUGAGCUGCUGUUUGAGGAGGAGACAGAGCAGUGUGCAGACCUGUGCCUGAGGCUCCUGAGGCACUGCAGCAGCAGCAUUGGCACCAUCAGGUCCCACGCCAGUGCCUCCCUGUACCUGCUCAUGAGGCAGAACUUCGAGAUUGGGAACAACUUUGCCAGAGUGAAGAUGCAGGUGACCAUGUCCCUCUCAUCCCUGGUGGGGACCUCCCAGAACUUCAAUGAAGAAUUUCUGCGGCGUUCCCUCAAGACUAUUCUGACAUAUGCUGAAGAAGAUCUGGAACUUAGGGAGACAACAUUUCCUGACCAGGUCCAGGAUUUAGUGUUCAACCUCCAUAUGAUCCUGUCAGACACAGUUAAAAUGAAGGAGCACCAGGAAGAUCCAGAAAUGCUGAUUGACCUGAUGUACAGGAUUGCCAAGGGCUACCAGAAUUCCCCUGACCUGCGCCUGACGUGGCUGCAGAACAUGGCAGGGAAACAUUCCGAGAGGAGCAACCACGCCGAGUCUGCCCAGUGCCUGGUGCACUCUGCAGCCCUGGUGGCCGAGUACCUGAGCAUGCUGGAGGACAGGAAAUACCUCCCUGUGGGCUGUGUGACAUUCCAGAACAUAUCUUCCAAUGUUUUGGAAGAGUCAGCAGUUUCUGAUGAUGUUGUGUCCCCAGAUGAAGAAGGAAUCUGUUCUGGGAAGUAUUUUACAGAAGCUGGUCUGGUGGGAUUGCUCGAACAGGCUGCAGCAUCUUUUUCCAUGGCUGGCAUGUAUGAAGCAGUUAAUGAGGUUUACAAAGUCCUUAUUCCUAUUCAUGAAGCCAACAGAGAUGCCAAGAAGUUGUCUACUAUUCAUGGUAAACUGCAGGAAGCAUUCAGCAAGAUUGUUCACCAGAGUACUGGCUGGGAGUUCCUACUUGUGGAAAUUUUUUUCCCUUUCUCUGCCCCUUUUCCCCCACCUCCCCUUUUUUGUUUUUGUUUUGUUUGUUUGUUUGUUUUACACUGUGGAACCCCCAAUUUCAUUUUAGCAAAGAGCUAUGCCAACAGCAGCACCCCCCUCAUGGCACAAGGAAUGUGGUGUUGCCAACUACAAAAGCAUUGCAGUGUCCUGGGGCUGGCACCAGAGCAUUCCUGAGCUCUCCUUAAACACACCAGCUGAUGGGCUUUGUGUGUUUAUUCAUGGAAUAAAUGUUAAAUUUAUUCUAUUUGUUUGCUUUCCAAUUAGGAAAAUUAAGAAAAAAUCUUUUCAUGCUGUGCCACGAGAAUUUAAAAACUCUUUUUAAACUGUGCAGGGAGAGGUUGCCAGUGGAUAACAAGGCUCCAGGAGCUGAUUGUUUCCCAAAAAAUCAAUAUUGGAAGACUUGUAGUAGUUGGCAACACCGCAAAGGACCUUGGGUUAAAAUUGAGCAGGAAAAUAACAGUGCUGGGUUUGGUAAAGAUGGGUUGGAUUCUGCAUUUUGAAGGAGUUGCUUUUGUUCCUGCACCCUUCAGGCAGCUGCUGCUGUCCUGGUGGAGGAAGCAAUGAUCCCUCUUGUGUCUGAUUUAUCUUGUUUUUCCCAACAAAUCUUGUUGGCAAAGCUUUUUGUGUGCGUGCAAGAGAUAACCCCAAAACUUUAUUCCCAGCAAUUUGGAAAGGUAUUUACCAUGCAUAAUAACAAAUCAUGAACCCUCAUAAGUCAUGGUGGCUGUUACCUGCUCUGCCAGUUGUGUGAUGGCUAUUCAGUGUUCACCUUCAUUCUCUUCUCCUCCCAAAAUCCUAUUAUUUUUUGAUAAAAUAAUAGGAGAUACGAUGCUUUUAAUAAUUCCUCCCUCAUAUCUGCAUUUUUAGCUCUUGCCAGAAACAAGACCACAGAGCAUUUAAUUAUUUGUUCCGUUUUCCCUGCUGUGGCUGGGAAGUGGUUUGGUGUUGGCUGAGUUUGAGAUGCCAGUACAGAGCCAUCCCCUAUCCCUAAUGCCAGGCAUGGAGCUGAUCCCAGGGAAGAGGCAGCUCCUGAAUAUCCUUGGCAGGCCUGGAGUGGUCUGGAAAUGUUUUCCCCAAAGGGAUUUGCUCCCAUUCCCUUGCCUCCAGGCACAGAUUCCCAGCAUAAGUCACAUCAGGGGCUGACAGUGCUCCUCACUGCUGCCUCUGGGAUCCCUUUAACUGGGAUUCAGCAUCUGGAUUUACCAGGGAGAGCCAGAGCAGCAUGGGGUUGAGCUGGGAGCUGAUCUCACACAGGAACAGGGAAUCUCAGCAGGCUUUCCUGGAGCUCUGCCACUCCUGGGACUCCCCAAUGCCCCAAAGCUUUGACUUUAUGCAUUUAGUAAAUGCCAGCAGGACUCCUCAGGGAUUUAUGCUGAUCAGCAGACAGCAUUCUCUUCCUCCCUUGUUAUUUUUACCCUGCCUGUAACAAGGAGCUGCCUGGCCAGGUGUCCAUGCCAAAAACUCACUUGUAGGGGUCUGGUUCUGCAAAUGCUUCCCACCCUGGAAACCCCUGGCCCAGGAGGAAGGAAACAGCUCAUUAAUUAGAAAUCAGUGUGUCCUCAACCACCCAGUGCCAGGCUUGGGGAAGGAUCCCACAACCUUUGGCCCUGGAAAGCUGAUCCAUGUGGCAGCUCCCCCCAGGCAGACACGGAGUCAUGGAAUGGUUUGGGUUGGAAAGGACCUUAAAGAGAUGAGGUUCCAACCCCACCUUCCCCCAGGUCCUGACUGUGUGAAAGGAGUCCUGGAGUCAGAGCCUUCUGUCUGUGACAGUGAGGUGGAAGCUGGAAAUGCUGGGUGUUGAGGGAUUUUAGUGUGGAUAAUGUUACCCCAAACUGUGGCUUUGAAAAGGUAGUGAUGAGGAAAAAAGGGUUCAGUAGCUCAAUCCUGAAUGAAUCCAGAGGGAUGGGCACUGGACAAAGGCAGGGAGUCCAGGGAAAUGGCAGCAUCCAGUAAAACAGCAGCAGCUCUGCAGCUGGAGUCCCCACCCUGGGAGGGGUGCUGGGAUCCUGUGGUGUGCUGAAAGCCCUGGCAGUGGGGCUGGAGAAGAGCCCCUCUCUGCAGGAGGAUUCCCAGAGGGAUGGGCUCUAGAGCAGGGUCCAGGGAGCCUGGGCAUAGCCCCGUGUGGCUUUUGUGGGAUGAGGGCUGCUACUCACCCCAGGUGCCUUCAGGAGGGCAGAGCUCAGCUCUGAAGUUGAAGUUUUUUUGCCCUCAGGCACCUCCAAGAAGAUGCUCCAGAGUUUCCUCCAGCCAGGAGAAGGCAGUGGCCAUGCCAGUGGUUUUUGCAGUCUGGAGUUUGCCUGAAGGGUUUUUUUAUUUUAGUUUGGUUUAUUUAUCCUCUUUGCCUUCCGUAGAUCAUGUUCACCAUCACAAGAGAUCAGUUUUGCCAUAGCAAAAUACUAAAACAAAACCUGGCAGCCAGGACACCUGUAAGGGCUGUUUGAAGCCAAAACCUAGCCCAGCUCAGGGGCACUCAGUGUCCUUAACUGCAUCACACUUUGUCACGAGAGUAAAGGUGAACAUUUUGGAGUUUCUUGCUGAAAGGCAUCCCUGGUUUGUGCAUGCAGCGUGAGUUCUUUAACACAAGCAAGGUGUGUUUAAUUUUUAAAGCAUUUUUCUUCUCUCUUUCUCUCUCUCCUAAUCAGAUUUUCUCCGUUGCCUUUCCAGCAAAAAAUCUUUCUUGUUUCUCUCCUUUUGUUGCGUUUCGGGGCCAAAUUCACCACUGGCUCCCCUGGAAGCAGGAUGGAAAGAGGAUGUUUGGCACCUACUUCCGAGUUGGUUUUUAUGGAACUAAGUUUGGAGACCUGGAUGAGCAAGAGUUUGUUUACAAGGAGCCUGCAAUAACCAAGUUGGCUGAAAUCUCCCAUCGGCUGGAG
This is an RNA transcript of Motacilla alba alba, 8524 nucleotides long. It is a transcript of the gene named dedicator of cytokinesis 7, with no coding region annotated. NCBI's taxonomy places the organism in Eukaryota, Metazoa, Chordata, Aves, Passeriformes, Motacillidae. The record is from RefSeq and is a predicted model, not a curated record. The transcript has 46 exons.